AAAAAAAAGAGAGACAAUAUAGAAGAGAUACAAAUCGUACUUCCCAGCAAGAAUAUAUCCUGCCCCUUAACUAAAUUGAUUCCUAUUAAUAAUUUUCUGCAUACAUACCUUUGAAGAGAAGGUGUUAUUUAUAGUCCAUAAAAA
Molecule: long non-coding RNA, 144 nt
Organism: Ipomoea nil (Japanese morning glory)
Lineage: Eukaryota; Viridiplantae; Streptophyta; Magnoliopsida; Solanales; Convolvulaceae
Exons: 2
Source: RefSeq, a predicted model, not a curated record